ACCCGCACAAGCAGCGGAGCAUGUGGUUUAAUUCGAAGCAACGCGAAGAACCUUACCAGGGCUUGACAUCCCUCUGACCGGACCGUAAUGGGUCCUUCCCUUCGGGGCAGAGGAGACAGGUGGUGCAUGGUUGUCGUCAGCUCGUGUCGUGAGAUGUUGGGUUAAGUCCCGCAACGAGCGCAACCCUUGUCAUUAGUUGCCAGCAGUUCGGCUGGGCACUCUAGUGAGACUGCCGGGGAUAACUCGGAGGAAGGUGGGGAUGACGUCAAAUCAUCAUGCCCCUUAUGUUCUGGGCUACACACGUGCUACAAUGGCUGGUACAAAGAGAAGCAAGACGGUGACGUGGAGCAAAUCUCAAAAACCAGUCCCAGUUCGGAUUGUAGGCUGCAACUCGCCUACAUGAAGUUGGAGUUGCCAGUAAUCGCGGAUCAGCACGCCGCGGCGAAUACGUUCCCGGGCCUU
This 462-nucleotide ribosomal RNA is filed under the name uncultured Eubacteriales bacterium. Its description in RNAcentral is "bacterial SSU rRNA". It matches the Rfam family "Bacterial small subunit ribosomal RNA", at positions 919 to 1382 of the family's 1533-position model. Lineage: Bacteria; Bacillati; Bacillota; Clostridia; Eubacteriales. The record is from RNAcentral.